GAUGAACGCUGGCGGCGUGCCUAAUACAUGCAAGUCGAGCGAACGGACGAGAAGCUUGCUUUUCUGAUGUUAGCGGCGGACGGGUGAGUAACACGUGGAUAACCUACCUAUAAGACUGGGAUAACUUCGGGAAACCGGAGCUAAUACCGGAUAAUAUUUUGAACCGCAUGGUUCAAAAGUGAAAGACGGUCUUGCUGUCACUUAUAGAUGGAUCCGCGCUGCAUUAGCUAGUUGGUAAGGUAACGGCUUACCAAGGCAACGAUGCAUAGCCGACCUGAGAGGGUGAUCGGCCACACUGGAACUGAGACACGGUCCAGACUCCUACGGGAGGCAGCAGUAGGGAAUCUUCCGCAAUGGGCGAAAGCCUGACGGAGCAACGCCGCGUGAGUGAUGAAGGUCUUCGGAUCGUAAAACUCUGUUAUUAGGGAAGAACAUAUGUGUAAGUAACUGUGCACAUCUGGACGGUACCUAAGCAGAAAGCCACGGCUAACUACGU
This 496-nucleotide ribosomal RNA is filed under the name uncultured bacterium. Its description in RNAcentral is "partial 16S ribosomal RNA". It matches the Rfam family "Bacterial small subunit ribosomal RNA", at positions 28 to 506 of the family's 1533-position model. The record is from RNAcentral.